RNAcentral lists this ribosomal RNA (253 nucleotides) under uncultured prokaryote. RNAcentral describes it as "partial 16S ribosomal RNA". It matches the Rfam family "Bacterial small subunit ribosomal RNA", at positions 525 to 777 of the family's 1533-position model. The record is from RNAcentral.
ACGAGGGGGGCAAGCGUUGUUCGGAAUUAUUGGGCGUAAAGGGCGCGUAGGCGGUCGGGUAAGUCACCUGUGAAAUCUCUGGGCUCAACUCCGGGGCUGCCGGUCAGACUGGCGAGCUAGAGCACGGUAGGGGCAGAUGGAAUUCCCGGUGUAGCGGUGGAAUGCGUAGAGAUCGGGAAGAAUACCAGUGGCGAAGGCGUUCUGCUGGGCCGUUGCUGACACUGAGGCGCGACAGCGUGGGGAGCAAACAGGA